CUGCGGAAGGAUCAUUACCGAGUGCGGGCCCCUCGGGGCCCAACCUCCCACCCGUGUUGCCCGAACCUAUGUUGCCUCGGCGGGCCCCGCGCCCGCCGACGGCCCCCCUGAACGCUGUCUGAAGUUGCAGUCUGAGACCUAUAACGAAAUUAGUUAAAACUUUCAACAACGGAUCUCUUGGUUCCGGCAUCGAUGAAGAACGCAGCGAAAUGCGAUAACUAAUGUGAAUUGCAGAAUUCAGUGAAUCAUCGAGUCUUUGAACGCACAUUGCGCCCUCUGGUAUUCCGGAGGGCAUGCCUGUCCGAGCGUCAUUGCUGCCCUCAAGCCCGGCUUGUGUGUUGGGCCCCGUCCCCCCCGCCGGGGGGACGGGCCCGAAAGGCAGCGGCGGCACCGCGUCCGGUCCUCGAGCGUAUGGGGCUUCGUCACCCGCUCUAGUAGGCCCGGCCGGCGCCAGCCGACCCCCAACCUUUAAUUAUCUCAGGUUGACCUCGGAUCAGGUAGGGAUACCCGCUGAACUUAAGCAUAUCAAUAAGCGGAGGAAAAGAAACCAACCGGGAUUGCCCUAGUAACGGCGAGUGAAGCGGCAAGAGCUCAAAUUUGAAAGCUGGCCCCCUCGGGGUCCGCAUUGUAAUUUGCAGAGGAUGCUUCGGGAACGGCCCCCAUCUAAGUGCCCUGGAACGGGCCGUCAUAGAGGGUGAGAAUCCCGUCUGGGAUGGGGUGGCCGCG
Molecule: ribosomal RNA, 726 nt
Filed under: fungal endophyte
Lineage: Eukaryota; Fungi
Description: eukaryotic LSU rRNA
Rfam family: Eukaryotic large subunit ribosomal RNA (bases 484-726)
Source: RNAcentral